GUGUAGGUUGCAGACGCGGCUCGGGUCCUGCGUUGCUGUGGCUCUGGCGUAGGCCGGUGGCUAUGGCUCUGAUUAGACCCCUAGCCUGGGAACCUCCAUAUGCUGCAGGAGCGGCCCAAGAAAUAGCAAAAAAAUAAAAAUAAAAUAAAAGCCUUGUUCUUAAAAAAUAAAUAAAUAAAUAAAUAAAAACAAAGUCUAUUUCUUUAAAAAAAAAUCAUACUGAAUUGCUUGAGACUGAAUGAUUACCCCCAAGAUCAAGAAAAAGGCAAGAAUGUCUGCUCCCACCGCUCUUACAUAACACAGUUCUGUAGACCUCUCUCUGUUUGCAAACGACACGACUGUGCAUGAUAAAAAACCUCAAGGAAUUUACAAAAAGCUCCUAGAACCCCUAAGUGAGUGCAGCCAAAUCACAAGAUAGAAGAUCAACAUUUAAAAAAGCAAACUCAAGUUCCCUUCGCAGCUCAGUGAGUUAAGAACCCAAUUAGUAACCAUGAGGACGCAGGUUCCAUCCCUGGCCUCACUCAGGGGUUAAGGACCCAGUGUUGCCACGAGCUGUGGCGUAGGUCGCCGAAGCAGCUUGGAUGCCAAAUUGCUAUGGUUGUAGCGUAGGCCAGAAGCUGCAGCUCCAAUUUGACCCCUUGCCUGGGAACUUCCAUACACCGUGAGUACAGCCCUUAAAAAAAAAAAAAAAAAAGAAAGAAAAUAGGCAAAAGACACAAACAGAUUAUUUCACAGGAGAAAAUACAUAGACAGCAAAUAAGCACAUGAACAGGUUUCAACAUCAUUAGCCAACAGGGAAAACAAAUUAAAACCACGACACAUCUAUCAGAACAGCUGAAAUAAAACAGCGAUAACACCAAAUGCUAAUCAGGAGGGGGAGGAAGUGACUCACUCAUUCUUUGCUGGUGAGAAUGUAACUUGGUACAGCCACUCGGGAAACAAUUUGGUAAUUUCUUACAAAACCAAUCACUUACCACACAACCCAAUAACUGCACGCUUGGGCAUUUAUCCCAGUGAAAUGAAAACACACAUUCACACAAAAACCCAUACGCAGAGGUUCAUAACGCCUUUAUUCAAGAUAGCAAGAAAAAACGGCAACAACCGAAUGUGCUUCAACGGGAGCGUAGUUGUUACGCCGCAGUGUUUCCAUACCGUGCACCACUCCGCAGCAAUAAAAAGCAACCAACUGGUAAUGCACGCAACUACCUGGAUGGAUCUAAUGAAGAAGCCAGUAUCAGAAGGUUGCAUACUGAAUUAUUCCUUUUUUGUUCAUUUAUUUAUUGGCUUUUUUACAUUACAUUACUAGUCGGAUUCGUUUCUGCUGUGCCACAAAAGGAACUCCAGCCUACCUCAAUUUUGAGACUAAAACUCAUCCUCUCAUCUGUUCUACCUGCUCGAUAUUAAAGUCUACACAAAGUCCACCAGUUCUGGAAAACCUCCACUACGGCCACAGACAUUCAGAGCUCCUUCGAGAGAGAAGGCGGCACAAAACAGAGCUGGGCUCACGGGCAGAGGGUGGGACCUUGGACCAGCACCGGACGGCCUGCAGGUUAACAACACCUGCUGACCCACCUGCAUGGACAGCUGCUGCCCACCUGGGAAACAGCACCUCCCAGCUGCCGUCACUGGUACUAUUCCUAUUUUACUAUUCCAAAAUAAAAACACACUCAAGCUCCAAAUCUCAGCAGAAGUGGCAGAAUAGUUCCAGCUUUAUAGAAGAGAAGAGGAAAUAAUGUAUUCCAUACAAAUAAAUGUGUAACUUUUAAGAACCGAAUAUCAGAAUGAAAUAAAAUUGGUUAUUUCUAAAAUAUCAGCAAAUGAUCUGUUAAUUACAAAUGUUUCUACUUCAUAUAUCUAUCUUUAUCUAUCGUAAAUCAUCAUAUACAUGAUUUUUUUCAAGAUUCUUAUCAUACGGUGUUCACAGUGUCACGGCACAUCGGAAAUGAAUCCGACGAGGAACUUUGAGGUUGUGGGUUCUAUCCCUGGCCUCGCUCAGUAGGUUAAGGAUCCUGCAUUGCCGUGGCUGUGGCAUAGGCUGGCAGCUGUAGCUCCAAUUAGACCCCUAGCCUGGGAACCUCCAUAUGCUGCAGGUGCAGUCCUAAAAAAUAAUAAUAAUAAUAUUGUGAAAAACGGUCUUUCAAACAUAAAAAAUAACAGUAAGCCAUUAUUAAAACACACCAAGGAGUUCCCACUGUGGCACAGAGGAAACGAAUCCGACUAGGAACCAUGAGGUUGCAGGUUCGAUCCCUGGCCUUGCUCAGUGGGUUAAGGAUCCGGCAUUGCCGUGAGGUGUGGUGUAGGUCACAGAUGCGGCUAGGAUCUGGUGCUGCUGUGGCUGUGGUGUAGGCCAGCAGUUGGAGCUCCAAUUAGACCCCUACCUGGGAACCGACGUGGAGAACUGCUUCCGGGCAACCGCAGUCUCUCAUCACUAACAAAACAAAAUCAACACACAACCAGCAACGGCAAACCAGAGAACCCAGCCCGAGGAAUGCCAAGAGCUGAAAAACAGAGGACGGCAGAAGGCCGCCUGCCCUGAGAUGCCUGGAAAACGCAGCAUGGCUCCACCCUAGAGAAGAGGCUCAGACACCCUCCAGCAGACCCCAGAGCAGAAAGAAGGUGGCUCUGUGACCGAGGGGUCUGGGAAAGGCCAAACAAGAGCCUGGGGGGACAAGGGAUUAAUGCCAAGAACAGUUCAGACACCCAAAGCUCUCGCAUUGUCGCUGCUUGGGCUCUGGUUACUGCACCGGUGCAGGUCCAAUCCCUGGCCCAGUAACUCACGCAGGCCGUGGUUUCUCUGUAACUGGGGAGGAGAAGCACAGGGCCGUCCCCCUCACGCCAGUGUUCUUUUCUGCCCUUUGGUUGUCCUAUGCCACAACCUGACUGGCACUGGGAUUCUUUAUAUUGUCCCACUCCUCCUAGCCACCCAAGAAAUCAACUCUAUCCAUCAACUACUACGCUUUGAAAACUACUGAUCUGCCUAUGGUGACAACAUGAAACAAAAACAUAUCUAAUUACAAAUGAAAUAUGAACCGCAUAUGGUCACAGGCAAAAAGAAACAAAAAAAAAAAACUAAGACAAAAUCUUCGGUGGUAUAAAAUUUUUUCUUUGGUUAACUUUUAAUCUCUUCUUCUUCUUAAACUGGAUACUACUCACACAUGGUAAAGACAGGAAAUUACAGGAGUUCCCGUCGUGGCGCAGUGGUUAACGAAUCCGACUAGGAACCAUGAGGUUGCGG
RNAcentral lists this long non-coding RNA (3235 nucleotides) under Sus scrofa (pig). Its description in RNAcentral is "lncRNA (ENSSSCG00025008783.1)". The record is from RNAcentral. Lineage: Eukaryota; Metazoa; Chordata; Mammalia; Artiodactyla; Suidae.